This 2524-nucleotide unclassified non-coding RNA is filed under the name Dendronephthya gigantea. RNAcentral's name for it is "uncharacterized LOC114525479, transcript variant X3". The record is from RNAcentral. Lineage: Eukaryota; Metazoa; Cnidaria; Anthozoa; Malacalcyonacea; Nephtheidae.
UUUCGUGAGCAUUCACUUAGACCACAGGUUACUACAAUUAAAUGGAAUAAGCAGAAUCAUUUCACAGAUCACACAAGCGAGUAGCGACUAGCGACACCGAAUAGCCCAGUUGCAACUUGCAAUAUGUCGGAUAAGGAAGAGCGUAUGCUUGUAAUGCCCAAGGAUGCAAAACCAGCCGAGGUUCGACAAUUAUACGACGAUUUUGCUGCAACAUAUGAUGAGGAAAUUCUUCCUGAGUCAACGUACCCCGCGUUACUUAGCGUCGUUGAUACGUUCAUGGAGGUCCUUGGCAACAGUGAUAAAAACAUACGAAUUAUUGACCUGGGAGCUGGUACUGGUCUUGCUGCCGUCGAGCUGAAGAAACAUGGCUUCGCCAAUAUCGAUGGCCUAGAUUUGUGUGAAGAAAUGCUGAAGAAAGCUAAAGAAAAAGACGCUUAUCGUAAAUAUAUCUGUGAAGCUGUGACAGAGAAACGACUGGACAUACCUACAGGAGCGUAUGAUGUUGCUUUAAGUGUUGGAGCUGUGACCUCUGGUUAUAUUAAAGCGAGUGCCUUUGAUGAAAUUCUGCGUUUGACAAAGCCAGGAGGGUUCAUUAUCUUCACUAUACGAAAGGGCCCUAUGGACGACGAUAAAUAUGGGUUUUCGGCGAAAUUUCAGCAGUUUAUUAAGGAAGGGAAGUGGCAGGAAGUAAAAAAAUAUCUCACGGAUUACGUGAGAUAUGACCAUUUAGAUUUGAACCAAUGCUACGUAGCAAUAUACAAAGUAUUGAAGAAUGAAUAAAUAAAAUGUACUGAAUGGGAAUGGUAAAUUGACGCAUUUGAAGACUAUAGAUUCUGGGCUAGCGCAGUCAAUAACAAUUCUCGACCGUCUAACGCGCGCGUACACUUCUCGGUAUUCCUUUUUUCAGUUUGGCUUGCCAUAAUUUUCCUCACGAAAAUUCUAAUUGACUUGAUUACAUUACGUCAUAAUAAGACCCCUAAUUAACUUUCAUUUCUCGCGUUAAAGAGGAAAGUUACAAACUAUUUGUGGAUAGAAAAGCGAUUACUAAAGUUGAAAAAAUAUUUGUUAUCAUGGGUCACCUUAAGAACAUUUGUGUUGGAACCAUUGCGCUUGUUGGUUCAGCAUUUUUGGGGUAUUACUUAUACAAGAAUUACUUUAAAUCGAAAGAGAACACUGAUGACGCAGAGUGUUCAACAAACACUGAGUCAAAUUCGCCCCAGGCAGAGGAUGUGAACGAGUCACUUGUCCGAAUUUCUGCUGGAAAGAAAGUCAACGGCAACGAAGCUGGAGCCAGCAAUACCAGUUCGAGGCAAUCUGGAUCAAGGGCGAACGGCAAAAAAAUAUCGAAAAAAUCUAAAACAGGCUAUAUGGGACUCCGCAAAGGAUUCUUGCUCAAAUAAAUUAGAUUACAGAGUAAACAGCAGAAAUUGCAACGACGCCUGGACCAAGAAAACCUGACUUUGUCGAUAAUUAUGAUCGAUUAAUCGAUGUACAGAUCGCACGAUACAAGUCGCAGAUCGAUGGACACAGCGGCUUUGGCUCGAAAAUAACAUUACGGAAAUUAGUGGAUCCUUAGCGCCCCUCGUCGGCAUUGAAAACACCAUGUGAUGCGUUCAAAAUGUACCACGUGGUUGAAACUUUUCGGUCAAGAAGUGGGCUCAGAACGCUCGCUUGCUGCUCUAUAUAUUCAUUGGUGUUUUGCAGUACUAGAUAUAAAAUCCAAAAGCCUACAAGUCCAUAUCCAAUGGGGAAGGCCAAGGACAAGUGCAUGACAAUUCUCAAGACAUAUUGCCAAGCACUAUGAUCAUGAUGGAGAUCAUGCAAUCUCAGUUGUGUCAAGCUGCUGUAGAAGCACGAAGUGAAAGCAGAGAACUUCUUCCUAGCAGCAGCAAUGAAAUGCGACAAGUGGCAAGCCCAUCAAUCAAAUCAAUAAAUACGAACCAAGGCCCUGAACUGAUUAAAUAUCCUGACGAUAUACUACCAUAGAAAAUGCAAUUAUACACCUUGAAACAUUAUGCUGAUUGUGAAAUGGUUGGUAAAAUUGAUCGCCUCAAGAGUGUAAAAUGCAAGAAAAAGAAGAUGAAAUAUUUGAAAGGAUAAACGAGCUUUGGGAACUUGUUGGGCAUAAAUUGGCACUGCCAAAUGCUGAUUUGUUUUUGCAUUCAAUCAGAAAGAUGAUUUAAUGGUGUAGAAUUUUUAUAAGAGAAUAUAGAAUGGAUUAUGCGAAAGAAAGACAGGGUUAGAAAAUCAGGAGCAACAGCAACGCAGAGUAUCUGUAAUCUUUAAUGAGCUAGCUAAUGUUGAUUAAUCCACGCGUUUUAUAGUAGUCACAGUACUAAACAAAAUACGGAAAAAUAUGUAAAGUGAAGAAAAUAAAUAAGUGAUAUGUUGUUUUAAAGGAUGCUUUAAAAACAUGUAGACUGUUGAGGUAAAGCAUAUGAAUAACAAUUAAACAAGAGUGCAACUUACAUGCAAAAGGAAUCGAAAACAAAAGCCCAAGCCAUUUCUAAUGACUAAUAUAUAU